AGUCUAGCAUGUGCGCGAGUCAUUGGGACUCAAUAAACCUAAAGGCGCAAUGAAAGUGAAAGUCUGUUUACGCGGACUUAGGGAGGAUAGGUGCGUACACAUCUGUGUACAACCUCGCACUCCCGGGGCGUCUCGCACUCAUUGCGAGGUGGGGCGCACCAAGAGCGUACACGCUGGGACCCGAAAGAUGGUGAACUAUGCCUGGUCAGGACGAAGUCAGGGGAAACCCUGAUGGAGGUCCGUAGCGAUUCUGACGUGCAAAUCGAUCGUCGGAACUGGGCUUAGGGGCGAAAGACUAAUCGAACCAUCUAGUAGCUGGUUCCCACCGAAGUUUCCCUCAGGAUAGCUGGCACUAGAUUAUGGAUGAGUCUCAUCCGGUAAAGCGAAUGAUUAGAGGCAUUGGGGUCGAAACGGCCUCAACCUAUUCUCAAACUUUAAAUGGGUGAGAUCUCCGGCUUGCUCGAUUUGUGAAGCCGGAGAUCGGAUCAAUUAGUGCCAAGUGGGCCACUUUUGGUAAGCAGAACUGGCGCUGUGGGAUGAACCAAACGCAGAGUUAAAGCGCCAAAAUCGACGCUUAUGGGAUACCAUGAAAGGCGUUGGUAACUUAAGACAGCAGGACGGUGGCCAUGGAAGUC
Molecule: ribosomal RNA, 635 nt
Filed under: Carabus problematicus solutus
Lineage: Eukaryota; Metazoa; Arthropoda; Insecta; Coleoptera; Carabidae
Description: eukaryotic LSU rRNA
Rfam family: Eukaryotic large subunit ribosomal RNA
Source: RNAcentral